This 207-nucleotide long non-coding RNA is filed under the name Jatropha curcas. RNAcentral's name for it is "long non-coding RNA (JCUR_LNC002668)". Lineage: Eukaryota; Viridiplantae; Streptophyta; Magnoliopsida; Malpighiales; Euphorbiaceae. The record is from RNAcentral.
AAAGAAAGGUGAUUCAAACUCCAUGGAUAUCUAGAUUGGUACUAUGAAUUGAAAGAGAAAAGUGCAAAGGCAAAUGCAAGUAUCACAACAACAGCACAUGAAAUUCCAAUCUCAGACACUCCUAUACAGUCGGAGAACUAUGAAGGGCUCAAUAGUAAAAUAGCCAAAUUGGUUCAACAGGAAGUUAUGAAAGUGAUGGAAGGAAAG